GAAAGAGAAUGACUGAAGGAAGCAGCAGAGCAUUGUUCAUUUCAGAUUCUGAAAAAAGGAUGAAGAGAGUGAAGGUUCAGCUGAUUAACUGUUAAGUUAGGACGAAAGAGGCUAAGGUUCUAAACUUCGUUGUGCUCUAAGGCUGCACUUUUGUAUAACAGGUCUGUUUUAUUAAAAUUAAAGUUGAACUUUGUUUUUUAAAAUAUAUGUAGUGAUCAACUGAUAAAAAUUGAAAUUUCAUUGUCGGAUUUUAUUUUUAACUCCUCAUACAACUAUUUCUUCUCUACAGGAAUUUGUCACUGAAGAGAAUUGUG
RNAcentral lists this long non-coding RNA (314 nucleotides) under Rosa chinensis. RNAcentral's name for it is "sRNA RchiOBHm_Chr2g0133321". The record is from RNAcentral. Lineage: Eukaryota; Viridiplantae; Streptophyta; Magnoliopsida; Rosales; Rosaceae.